UGGUGGAGUGAUUUGUCUGGUUAAUUCCGUUAACGAACGAGACCUUAGCCUAUUAAAUAGUUUGACAAACACCAAGGUGUAUGUAUUUUGAGCUUCUUAGAGGGACCUUCUGUAUCUAGCAGUAGGAAGUUUAAGGCAAUAACA
RNAcentral lists this ribosomal RNA (144 nucleotides) under uncultured eukaryote. RNAcentral describes it as "partial 18S ribosomal RNA". It matches the Rfam family "Eukaryotic small subunit ribosomal RNA", at positions 1299 to 1458 of the family's 1831-position model. The record is from RNAcentral.